GAUGAACGCUAGCGACAGGCUUAACACAUGCAAGUCGAGGGGCAGCGAGGGCGUAGCAAUACGCCUGUCGGCGACCGGCGCACUGGUGAGUAACACGUAUGCGACCUGCCCCCUACAGGGGUAUAACCCGUAGAAAUGCGGACUAAUCCCCCAUAGUCCUGAGUGCUGCAUGGCAUUCAGGGGAAAGGUCAGCCGGUAGGGGAUGGGCAUGCGGCGCAUUAGCUAGUUGGCAGGGUGAUAGCCUACCAAGGCGACGAUCGGUAGCCGACCUGAGAGGGUGAUCGGCCACAUUGGAACUGAGAUACGGGCCCAG
Molecule: ribosomal RNA, 313 nt
Filed under: uncultured bacterium
Lineage: Bacteria
Description: bacterial SSU rRNA
Rfam family: Bacterial small subunit ribosomal RNA
Source: RNAcentral